This 73-nucleotide transfer RNA is filed under the name Felis catus (domestic cat). It matches the Rfam family "tRNA". From Rfam's summary of the family: Transfer RNA (tRNA) molecules are approximately 80 nucleotides in length. Their secondary structure includes four short double-helical elements and three loops (D, anti-codon, and T loops). Lineage: Eukaryota; Metazoa; Chordata; Mammalia; Carnivora; Felidae. RNAcentral also lists the same sequence under 4 other names. The record is from Rfam by way of RNAcentral.
GCCUGGCUGGCAUAGCCAGUAGAGCAUGCGACUCUUGAUCUCAGGGCCAUGAGUUCGAGCCCCAUGUUGGGCA